Molecule: small nucleolar RNA, 133 nt
Organism: Camelus dromedarius (Arabian camel)
Lineage: Eukaryota; Metazoa; Chordata; Mammalia; Artiodactyla; Camelidae
Gene: SNORA70
Rfam family: Small nucleolar RNA SNORA70
About the family: snoRNA U70 seems to be exclusive to mammals and is a member of the H/ACA class of snoRNA which contain H (ANANNA) and ACA box motifs.
Source: Ensembl
GUGUUAAAAAUGUUUUUGCUGUGCUCUUUUCCUCGUAGGGUCCAGGGUGCAUUGGCUGCAAACAGCAUUCUCCUUGGUAGUGUAUGCAGCCUGUUACCUGUAUGGAUUGCCCUAAGGGGCCUUGAAGACAGCC